GCGUCGUUCAACAUGUCUCUCUUUGGCCUUUAGCAUCAGCAACACAAGAAUGUACAAAUGCAAAUUGUCUCUAAAUGAGACAUCUGUAACAAUAAGAUCAAUAAAAGCUUCCUUCGCUCCAUAUCUAUCCAAACAAAAAAAAAGGAAAAAUAAAUAAGGACAUUAUAUAUGCAGAAUACACACACACACACACACACACACACAGAUUACACACACACACACACAGAUUACACAAACAUACACACACAGAUUACACAUACAUUACACACACACACAGACACACACACACAGAGUACACACAAACAGACAUAGAUUACAGACACACACAGAGAUUACACACACACACACACACACACACACACAAACACACAGACACACACACACAGAGUACACACAAACAGACAUAGAUUACACACACACACAGAGAUUACACACACACACACACACACACACAAACACACACACACACACACACACAGAGUACACAAACACACACACACACACACACACACACACACAAAUACACACAAUCCUUUCAAAUGUGCAAAAUACACACACACACACAGAGUACACAUAAGCACACACACACACACGGGCGCGCGCGCACACACACACAGAAAUUACACACAUACACACACACAUAGAGUACACAAACACACAAACACACACACACACACACACACACACUAUCCUUUCAAAUGUGCAGAAUACACACACGCACACACACAUAUUACACUCACACACACACAGAGUACACACAAACACACAUACACACACACACAGAGUACACAAACACACACACACACGCACAGACACACACAUACAGAGUACUCCCAUUGUUAAAACCCCAAAUUUUAAAAAUUGAAAACAGUAUGUCGGUAGGACUUCCAAGUUUGACAACUUUGACAUCCUAAAUUCCCAAGUUCCAUCUCAUCUUAUGAAAACUCCAAAUUCUAAUCUCAAAUUCACCUAAAUAUCAAAACCCUAAUUUGUUCAAGUGCAGAGGUCUAUGAUUGAAAAUUUCUCAAACCCAAAACAACAAAAUCAAAUAAAGCUCAGUUAAUAUCACAAACAAAUCCACACAAAUCGACAAAAUAAAUCGAAGAUUCGAAGCUUACCAGACAACUCGAGGCAGAUGAGGGCGAAAAGAUGCAGAUGAGCGAAGACGUAGCGAUGUGGGUGAGGAGGACGACGAUGAGGGAGCACGGCAAGGACGACGAUGAGGGAAGACGCAGAGACAAGGACGAUGAGGGAAGACGCAAAAAAUCUCUCGUGUUUUCUCUGGCUUACGAGUCCGCCCAAAAUUGGGGAUCCUCGUUAAGAACGGCUAAAGAGGUGUUUAAUCCGAGCGAAUCCCUGCUAAGCUCAUUAAAGCUAAUCCUGGUGCACACCAAACAAAGGAUUAUAGUCUAAUCCAGUCUAGUCCUUCUUAAUCCUGUCAAACAAACGGACCCUUAAAGACUUAAAAUCAUGUCCAAUCAAAGACCCAGCCCCAUAAUAAGAUAUAUAAAAAAGAAAACAAAAAGAGGAGUGUUAGUAACCUUGUCAGCUUUCAUUUUCAUACUUCAAUGUGAACAAUAUUCCAACUGUAUUUUUUAAGUUAAUCUCAAAUUUUAAGGAUUUAGAUUUAGGGUCAAAUUUAAUGAAAUUCCGAGACAAUUUCAAUUAUUAUACGAUUUUGCAAGAUAAGAAAAAAGAACUUAAAAGAAUAGAAUGAGAAGGUUUGAUCAAGAUGAGCGGUAGCAUUUCUGAAAAAGAAUAAUAAAAAAAAAAUUGUUGUAGACGGAACAACUUUCUCACAUUUUAAGCCAUUUUUUCAGUGGUUUGGAUAUUUAGGAUUUAUUACCAGAAAUUGUGGUCCAUGCAAUUCCUUCCCAAAUAAAAUCGAUGACCUAACUUAGAACCAUUGGACCACCACGUUGGGGUUCCAUUUUUCUUACAUCUCUUUAUUAGGGAAUGUACAUGUUUCAUUUAUUUAACGAUUAUUUUUAGAAAAAAAUCUUUCAAAUUGUAGAUUGUUUAGUUAUCCAAAUGUCUCAAAUACAUAAACGGUUUAUUAUAAAUAUGUUAGUUGAUACUCACACUUGUCAAUUUAUUUUAUAUAUUUGAAGGACUAGACGAUCUCUGAUUUAAAUGAUUUUUAGUAAAAAUAAUCUUCAAAUGAAAAACUAAGAAAUUGAACAGAUAUAAAAUUUAUACUACAAAAGUAUUUUAUUCGCUAAGUGAUUAAGACCUAGUUUGGGAGUGAGGUGCUUAAAAAAAAGCACCUAUGAAAAAAAGCUGUGAGGGUUUUAGGUGUUUGGUAAACUGAAAAAAAAA
Molecule: long non-coding RNA, 2319 nt
Filed under: Malus domestica (apple)
Lineage: Eukaryota; Viridiplantae; Streptophyta; Magnoliopsida; Rosales; Rosaceae
Description: long non-coding RNA (MDOM_LNC014853)
Source: RNAcentral